Molecule: small RNA, 922 nt
Filed under: Rattus norvegicus (Norway rat)
Lineage: Eukaryota; Metazoa; Chordata; Mammalia; Rodentia; Muridae
Description: uncharacterized LOC108348419
Source: RNAcentral
UCCUCUCCCAGGAUUCAAAGGCGAGAGAGUGCUUCAUCCCACCUCACCGGUUGACUGUUCUAUCUGUUAGAUCGGCUGGGAUAUAACCCUAAAGUGAAACUACAUAAAGACGGUGUCUUCUGGAAUUUGAUAGGAGAUUCUUUUCCAACCUUCAGGGGACUCUUAAAUCUGAACCUCCGCUCUGUUGCACUGAGCUCGGGAUAUCUUUGCUUAGGACACUGAAGGUUAGUUUAUGUUGUGGGAUACUUGACCUUUGGAUCUGCAAAAAAAAAACGAAGAACCACUGGCAAGAGCUGCAGUCUUUGAGGCAAGGGAGAGCACUUGCAUUGGCUGUAUUGCAAGAAACAUAACCAUGAGCUCUGUUGUGUUUCCUUGCAUGUGUGCACAAAACAAGGUCUGCAUUGCUGACAGGGUCAGAAAGGAACUGGCAGGAAUUGGCUAUUUGUCCCCAAAUGAAGAUGGGGGAUGCAUUGGGCAAUCUUCUCUUGCUGUGGUAAGGCGCCAUGGCUGAUAGCAACUUAAGGAAGAGCGUUUUAGCUUGUGAUUUCAGAGGGGAGUGGAGUCCAUGCAGCAGAAGAUGCACAACAGGGAGACGAAGAGCAAGAUGCUUGCACAUCACAUUUUCAUCCACCCAUAGAAGGGAGAGAGCAAGCAGGGAGUGCAGGAAGACUGUGAACCAUAGCGCCUUCUUCUAGUGAUGGUUUCCUCCAGCAAGGCUGCACCUCCCAAAGGUUCCCUCACCAACUGGAUCAGCUCCAUCCAUUGGCGAUCAAGUGUUCAAACUCCUCCAAGGGGGCAGUCAAGCAGAGCUUGGAGCAAUGGCUGAAGCCGUAGCUGGAUGGAAGGCUGUGGAAGAAACACCCAUCUCCCUUUCCUUAUCCCAUCCAAAAGGGUCACAGUGGACACACGCAUAUCAAGAGGC